RNAcentral lists this non-coding RNA (769 nucleotides) under Hygrobia hermanni. Lineage: Eukaryota; Metazoa; Arthropoda; Insecta; Coleoptera; Hygrobiidae. The record is from RNAcentral.
GCUUAUAAAUUAAUUUAAUUUUUUUUUUACAUGUAAAUAUUUGUGAGAGAGAUAAUUAUAUUUUAAAAAUAUAUUUAGGAUAGUUUAUUCGCAGUAUGAAAUUUUAAUAAUUUAAGGGAUUAAGAAUUAUAAAUAAAUUUUAAUAUUGACUAAAUUUGUGCCAGCAGUUGCGGUUAUACAAAUAAUAUGAGUUAAUUUUAUUAGUGUUAAUUAAAUUGAGAUUUUUUAAAAUAAAUAUUAUUUUUAUUAGGUGAAAUUUUAAAAAUAAUUAUAUUUUUAUAAAAGAUUUUGUUAUUAUGAAAUUUUUUAAUAAACUAGGAUUAGAUACCCUAUUAUUUUAAAUGUAAAAUUAUAUGCUAAAGUAGUAUUAGUUAAGUUCUUGAAAUUUAAAAAUUUUGGCGGUAUUUUAGUCUAUUCAGAGGAACCUGUUCUAUAAUUGAUAAUCCACGAUUUACUUUACUUAAUUUAAUUAAUUUGUAUAUCAUCGUUAUUAGAUAAUUUUAUAAGAAUAUAAAUUUUUAAGAUUUUAAAUAAAUAAAUAAAUCAGAUCAAGAUGCAGUUUAUAGUUAAGAAGAAAUGGGUUACAAUAAAUUUAUUUAUAUGGAUUAUUAGAUGAAAUUUUAAUAUGAAGGUGGAUUUGAAAGUAAUUAAAUUAAUUUUAAUUUAAUGAUUUAAGCUCUAAAAUAUGUACAUAUCGCCCGUCGCUCUUAUUAUAAAAUAAGAUAAGUCGUAACAUAGUAGAUGUACUGGAAAGUGUAUCUAGAAAGGC